This 353-nucleotide unclassified non-coding RNA is filed under the name soil metagenome. RNAcentral describes it as "partial contains 5.8S ribosomal RNA, internal transcribed spacer 2, and large subunit ribosomal RNA". The stretch from base 1 to 120 matches the Rfam family "5.8S ribosomal RNA", at positions 35 to 154 of the family's 154-position model. The record is from RNAcentral.
GAUGAAGAACGUAGCGAAAUGCGAUAAGUAAUGUGAAUUGCAGAAUUCAGUGAAUCAUCGAAUCUUUGAACGCCCAUUGCGCCCGCCAGUAUUCUGGCGGGCAUGCCUGUUCGAGCGUCAUUACAACCCUCAGGCCCCCGGGCCUGGCGUUGGGGAUCGGCGGAAGCCCCCUGCGGGCACAACGCCGUCCCCCAAAUACAGUGGCGGUCCCGCCGCAGCUUCCAUUGCGUAGUAGCUAACACCUCGCAACUGGAGAGCGGCGCGGCCACGCCGUAAAACACCCAACUUCUGAAUGUUGACCGCGAAUCAGGUAGGAAUACCCGCUGAACUUAAGCAUAUCAAUAAGCGGAGGA